Molecule: ribosomal RNA, 362 nt
Filed under: Bacillus sp. MBGLi97
Lineage: Bacteria; Bacillati; Bacillota; Bacilli; Caryophanales; Bacillaceae
Description: bacterial SSU rRNA
Rfam family: Bacterial small subunit ribosomal RNA
Source: RNAcentral
UUUAUCGGAGAGUUUGAUCCUGGCUCAGGACGAACGCUGGCGGCGUGCCUAAUACAUGCAAGUCGAGCGGACAGAUGGGAGCUUGCUCCCUGAUGUUAGCGGCGGACGGGUGAGUAACACGUGGGUAACCUGCCUGUAAGACUGGGAUAACUCCGGGAAACCGGGGCUAAUACCGGAUGCUUGUUUGAACCGCAUGGUUCAAACAUAAAAGGUGGCUUCGGCUACCACUUACAGAUGGACCCGCGGCGCAUUAGCUAGUUGGUGAGGUAAUGGCUCACCAAGGCAACGAUGCGUAGCCGACCUGAGAGGGUGAUCGGCCACACUGGGACUGAGACACGGCCCAGACUCCUACGGGAGGCAGC